CCCUUAGAUGUUCUGGGCUGCACGCGCGCUACACUGAUGCGCUCAACGAGUUUCUUCCUGGUCCGAGAGGAAUGGGUAACCUUUUGAAAGUGCAUCGUGAUAGGGAUAGACUAUUGCAAUUAUUGGUCUUCAACGAGGAAUUCCUAGUAGACGUAGUUCAUCAGACUGCAUCGAUUACGUCCCUGCCCUUUGUACACACCGCCCGUCGCUCCUACCGAUUGAAUGCUCAGGUGAGCCAUUCGGACUUUCAUCAUGCUGGUUUCCAGUUUUGAUGAAGGAAAGUCUUGCGAACCUUAUCAUUUAGAGGAAGGAGAAGUCGUAACA
Molecule: ribosomal RNA, 324 nt
Filed under: uncultured eukaryote
Lineage: Eukaryota
Description: partial 18S ribosomal RNA
Rfam family: Eukaryotic small subunit ribosomal RNA
Source: RNAcentral